UUUUCCAUCCCGAGGUUGGGCUGGUUUCUCCUCUUGGCCCUGCCCUACAGACCAUAAAGGAGAACAGCAAGAGGCUCCCAGCAAACAUCCACAGAUUGCCCUGGACAUCAGCCACAUUCUGAGAAACAUGUCAUGUUCUGGGAGGGCUAAGGCAUCAAGAAUUCAAGUGACUAUAUUGCCACCAUCUUGGAGCUCACUGCCCUCAGUGUAAUGGCACCAGUAGAUCUGCCUGUGCACAGACUUCCUGUACUACCCACUCUUGAGGGGUGAUGCUUCUGCCUCACCAUAUGCUCAGGCCUAUGACCGGAUGCACAACUUUAGACACCAUCAUCCUGGAGCAGCUCUGCACCCUCACUAGCCAGGGUGUUGACAUCCUCAAGGCCAAGGCCACAUUCAAGACUUUGGAUUUCAUUGAUGCACUUGUCCUGAGCAAAGAUACGACAGCACAGCCAGUGGCCUCUACUGGAUCCUGUACAACCUCACAAGACACCCAGGCAGUGGGAGUGCUGGCAGCAUGUGGUACAAGAGUUCCAAGGGACCACAAUCCUGAAGACAUUGAAUGCCAUUUUGCAGACCCUGGUCAGAGUGAAACGUUCUAUGGGAACUCGGGCCGUGAGAAGCAUCCUUCCUAACCACCUGACUGUAGAAACAUCCUUAUCACAUCCUCCCGGUCAAAGGCCCAACAGCCUGACUGCAGGAACAUCCUUGCCAUAUCCUGCCGGGCAGCAAGCUCUACCGCCCAGACCCCUCCCUCCCAGUCCCAUGAUUGCCCCA
Molecule: long non-coding RNA, 774 nt
Filed under: Pongo abelii (Sumatran orangutan)
Lineage: Eukaryota; Metazoa; Chordata; Mammalia; Primates; Hominidae
Description: lincRNA
Source: RNAcentral